AACGAACGCUGGCGGCAUGCCUAACACAUGCAAGUCGAACGAGACCUUCGGGUCUAGUGGCGCACGGGUGCGUAACGCGUGGGAAUCUGCCCUGGGGUGCGGAAUAACUCGGAGAAAUCCGUGCUAAUACCGCAUAAUGUCUUCGGACCAAAGAUUUAUCGCCCUGGGAUGAGCCCGCGUAGGAUUAGCUAGUUGGUGGGUAAAGGCCUACCAAGGCGACGAUCCUUAGCUGGUCUGAGAGGAUGAUCAGCCACACUGGGACUGAGACACGGCCCAGACUCCUACGGGAGGCAGCAGUGGGGAAUAUUGGACAAUGGGCGAAAGCCUGAUCCAGCAAUGCCGCGUGAGUGAUGAAGGCCCUAGGGUUGUAAAGCUCUUUACCCGGGAUGAUAAUGACAGUACCGGGAGAAUAAGCUCCGGCUAACUCCGUGCCAGCAGCCGCGGUAA
Molecule: ribosomal RNA, 447 nt
Filed under: uncultured bacterium
Lineage: Bacteria
Description: bacterial SSU rRNA
Rfam family: Bacterial small subunit ribosomal RNA
Source: RNAcentral